ACACUUGCCUGGCAGGAGAGACACCUUGAUCAGGAAAAGUGGCUUUCUCAGAAUGAAGCUCAUCCAUCCCAUUUGUCAUGUGCUGACUCCUGCCAUUUCCUCAAAUGUAGAAAAGUCGUAUGUGGUAGUGGGAGACUGUGUUCACACUCUGCCA
Molecule: small nuclear RNA, 154 nt
Organism: Cricetulus griseus (Chinese hamster)
Lineage: Eukaryota; Metazoa; Chordata; Mammalia; Rodentia; Cricetidae
Gene: U1
Rfam family: U1 spliceosomal RNA
About the family: U1 is a small nuclear RNA (snRNA) component of the spliceosome (involved in pre-mRNA splicing). Its 5' end forms complementary base pairs with the 5' splice junction, thus defining the 5' donor site of an intron.
Source: Ensembl